This 900-nucleotide ribosomal RNA is filed under the name Scedosporium apiospermum. Its description in RNAcentral is "LSU rRNA". It matches the Rfam family "Eukaryotic large subunit ribosomal RNA", at positions 38 to 961 of the family's 3401-position model. Lineage: Eukaryota; Fungi; Ascomycota; Sordariomycetes; Microascales; Microascaceae. The record is from RNAcentral.
GCAUAUCAAUAAGCGGAGGAAAAGAAACCAACAGGGAUUGCCUCAGUAACGGCGAAGUGAAGCGGCAACAGCUCAAAUUUGAAAUCUGGCGGCCUCUGGGCCGUCCGAGUUGUAAUUUGAAGAGGAUGCUUUUGGCGAGGCGCCUUCCGAGUGCCCUGGAACGGGACGCCACAGAGGGUGAGAGCCCCGUAUGGUUGGACGCCGAGCCUCUGUAAAGCUCCUUCGACGAGUCGAGUAGUUUGGGAAUGCUGCUCAAAAUGGGAGGUAAACCCCUUCUAAAGCUAAAUACUGGCCAGAGACCGAUAGCGCACAAGUAGAGUGAUCGAAAGAUGAAAAGCACUUUGAAAAGAGAGUUAAAUAGCACGUGAAAUUGUUGAAAGGGAAGCGCUUGCGACCAGACUUGUGCCCGUCGAAUCAGCCGCCGCUCGCCGGCGGCGCACUUCGGCGGGCUCAGGCCAGCAUCAGUUCGCUGCAGGGGGAGAAAGGCGGCGGGAAUGUGGCUCUUCGGAGUGUUAUAGCCCGCCGCGCAAUACCCCUCGGCGGACUGAGGACCGCGCAUCUGCAAGGAUGCUGGCGUAAUGGUCGUCAGCGACCCGUCUUGAAACACGGACCAAGGAGUCGUCCUAAUAUGCGAGUGUUCGGGUGUAAAACCCCUGCGCGUAAUGAAAGUGAACGGAGGUGAGAGCUUCGGCGCAUCAUCGACCGAUCCUGAUGUUCUCGGAUGGAUUUGAGUAAGAGCAUAUUGGGCCGGACCCGAAAGAAGGUGAACUAUGCCUGUAUAGGGUAAAGCCAGAGGAAACUCUGGUGGAGGCUCGCAGCGGUUCUGACGUGCAAAUCGAUCGUCAAAUAUGGGCAUGGGGGGCGAAAGACUAAUCGAACCUUCUAGUAGCUGGUUUCCGC